GACGAACGCUGGCGGCGUGCUUAACACAUGCAAGUCGAACGGAAAGGCCCAGCUUUUGUGGGGUGCUCGAGUGGCGAACGGGUGAGUAACACGUGAGUAACCUGCCCUGGACUUUGGGAUAACUUCAGGAAACUGGGGCUAAUACCGGAUAGGAGCUCCUGCUGCAUGGUGGGGGUUGGAAAGUUUCGGCGGUUGGGGAUGGACUCGCGGGUUAUCAGCUUGUUGGUGGGGUAGUGGCUUACCAAGGCUUUGACGGGUAGCCGGCCUGCGAGGGUGACCGGCCACAUUGGGACUGAGAUACGGCCCAGAGCCCUACGGUGGGCAGCAGUGGGAAAUAUUGCACAAGGGGGGGACGCCUGAUGCAGCAACGCCGCGUGCGGAAUACCGGCCUUCGGGUUGUAAACGCCUUUCCCCUUUGCCGAAGUGUGUGUGACGGUAAUGGGUAAAGAAGCACCGGCUAACUACGUG
This 468-nucleotide ribosomal RNA is filed under the name uncultured bacterium. RNAcentral describes it as "partial 16S ribosomal RNA". It matches the Rfam family "Bacterial small subunit ribosomal RNA", at positions 28 to 507 of the family's 1533-position model. The record is from RNAcentral.